AGUUGAUUAGUUUCUCUUAAUAUUCUGCUCCAAUUUCAGCAAUUCGCGACAUGGAUGUCGCGAAAGGCGCAUUAAGACAGGAUGUCUUUUAUGCGCCGUGUGCGUCCGACGAAAAGAAUCUUACGCAGAAUAUUUAGAGAAUCUUAUCAACGAA
This 154-nucleotide non-coding RNA is filed under the name human gut metagenome. The record is from RNAcentral.